UACGUAGGGUGCGAGCGUUAAUCGGAAUUACUGGGCGUAAAGGGUGCGUAGGUGGUGCUGUAAGUCUGACGUGAAAUCUCUGGGCUUAACCCAGAAUCCGCGCCAGGAACUGCAGUGCUGGAGUGUGGGAGAGGAGAGUGGAAUUCCCGGUGUAGCGGUGAAAUGCGUAGAUAUCAGGAAGAACACCCGUGGCUAAGGCGGCUCUCUAGUACGGUACUGACGCUGAGACGCGAAAGCGUGGGGAGCGAACAGG
This 253-nucleotide ribosomal RNA is filed under the name uncultured bacterium. RNAcentral describes it as "partial 16S ribosomal RNA". It matches the Rfam family "Bacterial small subunit ribosomal RNA", at positions 524 to 776 of the family's 1533-position model. The record is from RNAcentral.